This 429-nucleotide ribosomal RNA is filed under the name Acidobacteriota bacterium. RNAcentral's name for it is "Acidobacteria bacterium partial 16S ribosomal RNA". It matches the Rfam family "Bacterial small subunit ribosomal RNA", at positions 355 to 776 of the family's 1533-position model. Lineage: Bacteria; Pseudomonadati; Acidobacteriota. The record is from RNAcentral.
UGGGGAAUUUUGGACAAUGGGGGAAACCCUGAUCCAGCCAUCCCGCGUGUGCGAUGAAGGCCUUCGGGUUGUAAAGCACUUUUGGCAGGAAAGAAACGUCAUGGGUUAAUACCCCGUGAAACUGACGGUACCUGCAGAAUAAGCACCGGCUAACUACGUGCCAGCAGCCGCGGUACUACGUAGGGUGCAAGCGUUAAUCGGAAUUACUGGGCGUAAAGCGUGCGCAGGCGGUUCGGAAAGAAAGAUGUGAAAUCCCAGAGCUCAACUUUGGAACUGCAUUUUUAACUACCGGGCUAGAGUGUGUCAGAGGGAGGUGGAAUUCCGCGUGUAGCAGUGAAAUGCGUAGAUAUGCGGAGGAACACCGAUGGCGAAGGCAGCCUCCUGGGAUAACACUGACGCUCAUGCACGAAAGCGUGGGGAGCAAACAGG